GUUGGAGAGAAUUGGAGAUUUGAGCCACUAUAAACAUACAUGUAUAAUAUCACUGUACUAGUGUACAUGUUUUUUAAGGGGCCAGCUGGACACUGCCUCCUGGUGCGGGAGUUUCUUGCUACAUUGAAGACCCAUUGGUGGCCUUCAGCUGUUGUCUGCUCUAUGGUCUGGUUGUUGUCGCUUUGACACAUUCCCCAUUUCCUUUCUUAAUUUUAUGUAUAAAAUAUAUAUCUGCAUAUCUGAAGCCCCAGACUAGUAUAUUUCUUUUGGACUAGUAAGUUUUUGCAAAACUUUGUUUGAACCAAUAAGAAAAAUGUCAGAAUAUUGGUCUUUGGACUAGUAGUUGAGAAAAGAUUUUGGUGCAGACUGUAUAUAUAUCACAUUUCCUUUAUCAAAAGUUUUUUUCAAGCAGAAAAAAAGAAUGGGUUGAAGAAAAAUUAUUGAAA
RNAcentral lists this long non-coding RNA (446 nucleotides) under Mytilus galloprovincialis (Mediterranean mussel). The record is from RNAcentral. Lineage: Eukaryota; Metazoa; Mollusca; Bivalvia; Mytilida; Mytilidae.